UACCAGCACCCCGAGUGGUCGGGACGAUUAUUGGGCCUAAAGCAUCCGUAGCCGGCCUUACAAGUCCUCCGUUAAAUCCAGCUGCUUAACAGAUGGGCUGCGGAGGAUACUAUAAGACUAGGAGGCAGGAGAGGCAAGCGGUACUCAGUGGGUAGGGGUAAAAUCCGUUGAUCCAUUGAAGACCACCAGUGGCGAAGGCGGCUUACUGGUCCGGUUCUGACGCUGAGGCGCGAAAGCGUGGGGAGCAAACAGG
Molecule: ribosomal RNA, 253 nt
Filed under: uncultured bacterium
Lineage: Bacteria
Description: partial 16S ribosomal RNA
Rfam family: Archaeal small subunit ribosomal RNA
Source: RNAcentral